UAAUGCCUUUGUUUGGCCAAGCUAUGUGCAAAUAUCACAAAUUAAAAAUUUGGUUAAGCAGUUAGGCUGGACCUAAUAUUUUAGAAAAACCUAAUUUUUUUUUGUGGACCCAUUUUCGAUAUUUACUCACAAAUGGAAUUCAAGGGGAACAACUUCGGUCUCAGCACUUUAAUUAUUCUUCUCGUUCCCACCUAAUUUCGCAAUUUAUUGUCCUUGACUUCUACCACGAGAAAAAAAUUAAGAAAAUGCAACGCUGCCCGUGCAGGGUUUUCUGAGCGGGAUGAAAAAAUCAGACAAAUAUCCAAGUUGUGAGUAAUUACUUUGUUGGAAGGAGGGAGCAGAGCAUAAGGAAAUUCUUAAAACUGUUAUGUAUAUAAAGGAAGAACCAUUUCUAGUUAUUUCACUUUUUGAUACUUGUCAACUAUCUUAGUAAAAAUACAGAACUCUAUAAAGAACCACAGAAAAAUCGACAGCAAUGACAAGCAUUGACAUUAACAACUUACAAAAUACCUUUCAACAAGCUAUGAAUAUGAGCGGCUCCCCAGGCGCUGU
This 552-nucleotide small RNA is filed under the name Saccharomyces cerevisiae YJM193. RNAcentral's name for it is "SRG1". It matches the Rfam family "srg1". Lineage: Eukaryota; Fungi; Ascomycota; Saccharomycetes; Saccharomycetales; Saccharomycetaceae. RNAcentral also lists the same sequence under 1 other name. The record is from RNAcentral.